UACAGAGGUCUCAAGCGUUGUUCGGAUUCAUUGGGCGUAAAGGGCGUGUAGGUGGCGCGCUAAGUCGGGUGUGAAAUUUCGGAGCUUAACUCCGAAACUGCAUUCGAUACUGGCGUGCUUGAGGACGGGAGAGGAGACUGGAAUUCAUGGUGUAGCAGUGAAAUGCGUAGAGAUCAUGAGGAAGACCAGUGGCGAAGGCGGGUCUCUGGACAGUUCCUGACGCUGAGACACGAAGGCCAGGGGAGCAAACGGG
Molecule: ribosomal RNA, 253 nt
Filed under: uncultured bacterium
Lineage: Bacteria
Description: partial 16S ribosomal RNA
Rfam family: Bacterial small subunit ribosomal RNA
Source: RNAcentral